Long non-coding RNA from Gallus gallus (chicken), 2610 nucleotides. RefSeq lists it as uncharacterized. Lineage: Eukaryota; Metazoa; Chordata; Aves; Galliformes; Phasianidae. The record is from RefSeq and is a predicted model, not a curated record. The transcript has 3 exons.
GCUUUACAUGAUGCACUGCAAUUGGAGUUAGCCACUGUGAGGGGAGAAUUUUCAUCUCCUUCUUGGGCUAGGGGAGUAAAAAUAAAAUCGAGAUAAUGUUCUGCCACUGGUAUUUUCUGAAUCUGCUUCUUUCUCUUCUGUGGUGCCAAGAGAGGGGAUUCUGCUACAUCUGUACUUCAAGCCAUCUGCUUAGCAAAUUAAAGGGAUCAUAUCCAGAGGAAGGUAGUAUAACCAGGAUCCCAGCUCAACAUCCCAUUCAAGAGUAAAGGAUUGCAGACUUGGCUUUCCGUAACUUUCUUCUUUAUGAUACUUUAUAUAAGCAAGCUGCUUGUAUGUGUGUUUUCACUCCUCUGCUGUCUCCUGUGUGCUCUUAAUUUUUUCUUAUCUGUGGGUAAAAAAUCUCUUUUAGAAUUUUACACAUCAACUGGGCUGUCUUGCUGGGCCAAUGUGCUGCUGAGAUGCCCAGACUGAAGCACUGGAAGGCCUUAAGGUAGUUGAUGCAUACAGCUGGUGCAUUUUUUUGGUCUGCUAUUAAUGAGGUACUACUGAAAAAUUUGGAAGCGUGGCCUAGUGGGUCAUCUAACAUAGUGAUGUUAGAUAAGUGAUGGUAAGAUAUAAAUACAAUAUAUCAUGAUAUGUAAGACCAAGUGCCAAAUUUUGCAUAUUUGAAUCCCUGCUUAAAGGUAAUAGCUAAGCUGUAGCAUUGUCUAAUUUGCAGCACUGCUAUUCCAGAUCAGAGCGGGUAAGUUGCAGAGACUACAAAAGAGAAUGACUUAAAAUCAUGGGAGUUUCUAAAGGAAAAGUCCCAAAAAGUUGAUCUACUUUAGAAUAAAACUAAGAUUGGACACAGUAAUAUCCUUCAAAUCCACAAAAAAGUCUGCUGUAAGAAAAGGAAACGAUCUGUUUUGCAUUGUCCACAGGGAACAGAAUAAGAAGCAAUGGGCUUAAGUGAAAAGAAGUACAGUUCUAAUUUAAAAAAAGGACAGUUAAGCUCUGUGAUAAGUUAAGGCAUCUGGAAUACUCUACUAUAUAAUUCUAAUAUUAUAUGGGGACAUUUAAAUGUGUAUUUUAAAGUCAAGCAGAAAUAUAAAGUCACAAUUGUAUUCAUUUUCAUUAUUAUCACUCUGUUUUACUCCCCAAAAAGUUUUUGUGCUGUGAACUUCUAAACUAUAUGAAUGAAUAAUUCCGGUGAGGAAGAAGGAGCUUCUGGAUUUAUUUAUUGGGGUUUUGUUGUGUUUUUUUUUUUUAAAGUUUUACAAAGGAAGACUGUAUAUAUAAACAAGAGUUGAAUCUGCAUGUGAGUUAAGGGGUAAGAACUGGUAAGUCUCCCUCAGUAUUUCAGAAAUACUCAAACUAGUUAGUUACAGGUAGAAGCCUUCUUUCUAGGGUAUGCUGCCCAGUCUAGAGGGGACAGUUUUAACUUUAUGAAUAAUCACUUUUUUAAACUUAAAAUAAAUGUCUCACGGAAAUUGUAACUGUUAGUCUGACUUAACAAAGAGUAUGAUAGUUGACUAAGUUGUUGUCAGGAAGAUGCGUGAAAGAGGAAAUGCUGCUAACAUCUUCUGGAAAGAUUACCAACUUCUUAAAAAGAAGUAAAACACAUCAAGGAAUAAAUAUUUCCAUAUUAUGACACUUUUUCUGUGAGAAAUAUGCAUAUUUUUCCCCAGGAGUGCACAGUGAUUAACUGUAAAAUGUUGUACUACCUGAAAAUGUCAAAGUGGCACAAAAAUUAUUAAAGAGGGCUCAGCCAAAAGGCUUGCCCAUGAAUAUUUAAUAACACAGUAAUAGGGUUCUGUAUUUCCACCAACUUAAAUGAGUGAAGCUUUGGAAAGUUAGCUUUGAACUUGGGAACCUCCUAUCUCACAAAUAAGUGUACUGCAGCAUGCCUUGGAUUCAGUUUAAUAUUAAAGGAUGGCCUGUGUGUGUGUAAGGACAUUUUGUAUAGAUAGUUUUUCUAUACUUUGGACUCUAUCACCUAUUUGUUAGAGGAUUAAUUGCUUGUAGUUACAGCUCCUCACUGCCAAGAUUUACAAUCUAGGCAAUAACUACUUACUCUGCAGAACUUGCUACUUCCUCUCUUAUUAUACCCCUGAUUUCAGUGGAAGUUUAGUUCCAGUAUUCAUUAAUAAGCCUUAUUCAAAGCCUAAGUAAGAAACACACUCACACACUCACACACACACACAAAGUAUGUGUAUUUCAUGAAAAGGGACUUGGAAAACAUACCAAACCUACUACUUUAUAUGUUUAUUUGUUUGUUUAUUUGUUUUGAAGCUUACUGCACAAGCCCUUAACAUGUUCUUCUCUCAAGAGUGAAAGAUGGAAAUUGCCAGUGAAUGCUUCAUGGCUGAAACUGAGACUUUCUUAACAGAAGCAAACCAGUGCCUUCUCAUCUAGGAUUCAUUGUCAGCGUCUUUGUGACCUCAUGUCUCAAGAAUGGCACUGUACCUGUGAUACAAUUCUUCUAAACAUCAGGAGGAAGCAGCAAUGGGCAGGACUGCCACUCACCAUCUCAGCUGUCCAGGGCCCCAUCCAACCUGGUCUUGAGCACCUGCAGGGAUGGGACACCACAGCUUCUCUGGGCAGCUGUGCCAGCACCUCAUAAGCCUGUGA